UAUGAUCACUUUUUAUGGCUACUUUAGGAGAAAUUUCGGGUUUGUUUCCUUGAUAGGGUCUUGACAGUAUUAUAAUUUAUUUCAUUUCUAUUUUUCUACGAUAAAAGAUUUAAAUCGCCAGAGGGAUGCCAUUGAGAAAACUGGAAUAGUAGUUAAUGGAAGAUGCUUUAAAGUUAAAUUUCCAGUUACUCUUGAUUACAAAACACUGAUAAUGCUGCUCAAGCAAAGAGCUGGUGAUGCCAAAAAAUAUAUCAAUGAACUUUGCAAGCAAGGAUUGGACACAGAGUGCUGUGUAUUCUGCAAAGUUAUUAAGGAAUGUGCCUCUCCUGAUGUUCCUUUUGGGGAAGCCUUUGCUGAGUGUUUCCUAAAGAGCAAAGCAAAUAUUGGGGGGUAGGUACAACUCUGCAUUUCUGCAUUGACAUGCAUAAAAAGUUCCAGCUUGCAGUAUGGUAUUUCACUUUCUAUUGGAAUACAUGUCUUUAAAUCUCACUUGGGAUACUUAGUUUGAUGGACAGUUGGCAUACUGCC
Molecule: long non-coding RNA, 528 nt
Organism: Stylophora pistillata
Lineage: Eukaryota; Metazoa; Cnidaria; Anthozoa; Scleractinia; Pocilloporidae
Source: RefSeq, a predicted model, not a curated record